This 424-nucleotide ribosomal RNA is filed under the name Verrucomicrobiota bacterium. RNAcentral describes it as "Verrucomicrobia bacterium partial 16S ribosomal RNA". It matches the Rfam family "Bacterial small subunit ribosomal RNA", at positions 355 to 776 of the family's 1533-position model. Lineage: Bacteria; Pseudomonadati; Verrucomicrobiota. The record is from RNAcentral.
UGAGGAAUAUUGGUCAAUGGACGAGAGUCUGAACCAGCCAAGUAGCGUGCAGGAUGACGGCCCUAUGUGUUGUAAACUGCUUUUGUUUGGGAAUAAUCGACAUUACGUGUAAUGUUUUUCAUGUACCAUUCGAAUAAGGACCGGCUAAUUCCGUUCCAGCAGCCGCGGUAAUACGGAAGGUCCAGGCGUUAUCCGGAUUUAUUGGGUUUAAAGGGAGUGUAGGCGGUUGGUUAAGCGUGUUGUGAAAUGUAGAUGCUCAACAUCUGACUUGCAGCGCGAACUGGCUGACUUGAGUACACACAACGUAGGCGGAAUUCAUGGUGUAGCGGUGAAAUGCUUAGAUAUCAUGAAGAACUCCGAUUGCGAAGGCAGCUUACGGGAGUGUUACUGACGCUUAAGCUCGAAGGUGCGGGUAUCGAACAGG